Long non-coding RNA from Rhinopithecus roxellana (golden snub-nosed monkey), 662 nucleotides. RefSeq lists it as uncharacterized. The record is from RefSeq and is a predicted model, not a curated record. NCBI's taxonomy places the organism in Eukaryota, Metazoa, Chordata, Mammalia, Primates, Cercopithecidae. The transcript has 2 exons.
AGGACAUCCUCUCCAAUCCACCACACACCACCUUACCCCUCUGCUGGCAAGAGGGGACCUGAUUCAUCUUCACGCUAAACAUUCAUUCUACCCAACUGAUUGAGACAGAACAGAAGAUAAACUGAAACUUCUCUGCCUUCGCACUGCAAGAGUGAAUGAGCGAUUCCUCUCAACUGACUCAAAAUGUUUGCCUCACCCAGGAGGGCUCCCUAUGCCUCUCCUUUUUUCCUUUCAUCUGUAUUAUUCUUGUUGCCAAAAUCUGGAGCCCUGUAAAGGCCCAGUAGUGGUGGCAACAAUAGAGCUGUGUGUCACCCCAGUGAGCUGGAAGAGCAGACAUCAAGCUCUACACCAGAGAACAGUGGGGCACCCCCAAAGUCCUGCUGGAAGCCAGCUCUGAUCUGGAACUGGCAAGGACAACACACGGUCGAGCUCUUUCUGGUCUCAGAGAAUCCAGGAGAGUCUUCAGGGAUCCUUCCAGACCCAGGAAGACUCUCACACUCUGCAGAGAAGUUGCGGCUUGUUUAGGAUUUGACCUACAUUCAGAAAUGACCAGCAUCCCAAUUUUCAGCUCUAAGGAUUACUUAAAAAAACAAAUGGUGUUCAUUCGCAAAUAUCUUGCCUUUCUCAUGAGAGAAAAAUGAAGCUUGUGAUUAGCCAGCAAA